AUCGCUUCUUGGCCUUUUGGCUAAGAUCAAGUGUAGAAAUUGUGAGUCCAUGAGAGAUGAACACAAUUAUUGAAUUGAAGGAUUAAAAUUCCUAAAACAUGGGGUGUCUGGGUGGCUCAGUCAGUUAAGCAUCAUCUCUUGGUUUCGGCUCAGGUCAUGAUCUCAUGGUUCUUGAGUUUGAGCCCCGCGUU
Small nuclear RNA from Prionailurus viverrinus (fishing cat), 191 nucleotides. RefSeq annotates it as U2 spliceosomal RNA. The record is from RefSeq and is a predicted model, not a curated record. The transcript has a single exon. Lineage: Eukaryota; Metazoa; Chordata; Mammalia; Carnivora; Felidae.